UGCUGCUAAAGACAUCAUGCUAUUGGGGUGUUGUGAAACAGACCACUGCUGUUGCCUUUGCUCACUCUUCAGGUUUCAGUGCAAUAGAGGAGAGGCUUGGGCAUCCAGAGGACAAUCAACAGUCAUUUGGCCCAGGGAUGUCAAUGAUAGGAGACCUAAUAUGCAUCCUGAUUAUGGUGCCACCACAGCUGAUGAAAAGAGAACUUGAAGAACAAAAGACCCUGAGACCAC
This 231-nucleotide long non-coding RNA is filed under the name Fukomys damarensis (Damara mole-rat). RNAcentral describes it as "lncRNA (ENSFDAG00000027668.1)". The record is from RNAcentral. Lineage: Eukaryota; Metazoa; Chordata; Mammalia; Rodentia; Bathyergidae.